UACGUAGGGCGCAAGCGUUGUCCGGAAUUAUUGGGCGUAAAGAGCUCGUAGGCGGUUUGUCACGUCUGCUGUGAAAACCUAAGGCUCAACCUUGGGCUUGCAGUGGGUACGGGCAGACUAGAGUGCGGUAGGGGUGACUGGAAUUCCUGGUGUAGCGGUGAAAUGCGCAGAUAUCAGGAAGAACACCCGUGGCGAAGGCGGCUCUCUGGGACGGUACUGACGCUGAGACGCGAAAGCGUGGGGAGCGAACAGG
RNAcentral lists this ribosomal RNA (253 nucleotides) under uncultured bacterium. RNAcentral describes it as "partial 16S ribosomal RNA". It matches the Rfam family "Bacterial small subunit ribosomal RNA", at positions 524 to 776 of the family's 1533-position model. The record is from RNAcentral.